AUCUUAACUUUGAUUGCUAAUCUAGAUUUUAGCUGUCGAUUUUAGUUUCGAUCAUAGGUCCUUAACUACUGACAUCAGAGCGACACCUGGACAUCAGACACCGAUUUAGGAAAGGUCAUGACCCCAGCAUCAUCUUCGACCAAAGGAUCCCUCACUGAUCCUCCUCUUUAGCCGUAGGCUGCAUUUCCUUCAACUAUUGUUGGCUGUUAUAUUUGGGAAGAUCAACCCCC
Molecule: long non-coding RNA, 230 nt
Filed under: Elaeis guineensis (African oil palm)
Lineage: Eukaryota; Viridiplantae; Streptophyta; Magnoliopsida; Arecales; Arecaceae
Description: long non-coding RNA (EGUI_LNC081358)
Source: RNAcentral